GAUGAACGCUGGCGGCGUGCCUAAUACAUGCAAGUCGAGCGAACAGACGAGGAGCUUGCUCCUUUGACGUUAGCGGCGGACGGGUGAGUAACACGUGGAUAACCUACCUAUAAGACUGGGAUAACUUCGGGAAACCGGAGCUAAUACCGGAUAACAUGUUGAACCGCAUGGUUCAACAGUGAAAGACGGUCUUGCUGUCACUUAUAGAUGGAUCCGCGCCGCAUUAGCUAGUUGGUAAGGUAACGGCUUACCAAGGCAACGAUGCGUAGCCGACCUGAGAGGGUGAUCGGCCACACUGGAACUGAGACACGGUCAAGACUCCUAAGGGAGGCAGCAGUAGGGAAUCUUCCGCAAUGGGCGAAAGCCUGACGGAGCAACGCCGCGUGAGUGAAGAAGGUCUUCGGAUCGUAAAACUCUGUUAUUAGGGAAGAACAAAUGUGUAAGUAACUAUGCACGUCUUGACGGUACCUAAUCAGAAAGCCACGGCUAACUACGUG
This 497-nucleotide ribosomal RNA is filed under the name uncultured bacterium. RNAcentral's name for it is "partial 16S ribosomal RNA". It matches the Rfam family "Bacterial small subunit ribosomal RNA", at positions 28 to 507 of the family's 1533-position model. The record is from RNAcentral.